GGGGGGGGCAAGCGUUGUUCGGAAUCACUGGGCGUAAAGGGCUCGUAGGCGGCUUGCUAAGUCUGACGUGAAAUCCCUGGGCUUAACCCGGGAACUGCCUCGGAUACUGGAUGGCUUGAGUUCUGGAGAGGGAUGCGGAAUUCCGGGUGUAGCGGUGAAAUGCGUAGAUAUCUGGAGGAACACCGGUGGCGAAGGCGGCCUCCUGGGCCGACGCUGACACUGAGGAGCGAAAGCCAGGGGAGCAAACGGGAUUAGAUACCCUGGUAGUCCUGGCCCUAAACGAUGAAUGCUUGGUGUGGCGGGGAUCGAUCCCUGCCGUGCCGGCGCUAACGCAUUAAGUGUUCCGCCUGGGGAGUACGGUCGCAAGGCUG
Molecule: ribosomal RNA, 371 nt
Filed under: uncultured bacterium
Lineage: Bacteria
Description: bacterial SSU rRNA
Rfam family: Bacterial small subunit ribosomal RNA
Source: RNAcentral